UUUGAAUUUUUCUCCAGCUCCCAAGGCAAAAACUCUACUUAAAAAAAAAUUAUAUAUAUAUAUAUAUAUAUAUAUAUAUAUAUAUAUAUAUAUAUAUAUAUAUAUAUAUGACCAAAAAUUUAAAUCCCAAGUUGAAAUAUGGAAUUUGACCUGUUGCAUGCUUUAAAAAAAAAGGAAAGCAAGCCCCCUGCGGCACAGGUUCUAUGGCUACCAUUUCUAAGACCUUCCAGAAAUAAUUUUCUUUACCUUCACCAAGGAAGAGAGAGAGAAAUGGACCAUCAUGAGGAGACCCCUCCUACAGCCUUGUCCCCAAAUCACAAAGCCUGUUCCAGCCAUGCUAGAUUCUGCUGUCACAGUCUACAAAGCAAGGGCCUGUCUCUGGGCAUCAGGCUGGGUGUGUGGCUGAGGGCUCACAGGAGGGCUGCGAUGCAAGGCUAGGGGCUGCCUGUACAAGGCCACCCCCGUCCCUCCCUCCAGCUUAUGUCAUUCUGGUCCUUGCUGGAUGGGCAGAUCAGCCAUAGGCCCAAUGUCCACCCCAGUUACCUGGUUUCUCCUCUGCCUGACUCAAUGCUUAAGAUGUAAGCGUCAGUAGGACUGUUGCCUCUCUGCAAGUCUCCUGCCUACCUGGGAGAAGCUGUCAGGACCAAGCUGGAAGGAAGAGGGUAGAAGCCUGGGUGCUGGUCAGCCCAAGCUGGAGGCUUUUCUCCCUUCUGCCUAUCAGCCCUAACCCACAGGCCCUACUGAUGCUAAGGGCUGAGCUGGACAAAAACAUCGCCUCAAACUGGGCUUGGUAGCUUUCUAGGCUAGAGCUUCUGGCCAUUGGAAGAAGGCUAGCUCCUGACCUUGGGAUACCUACACCUCUCUACUUCACUCUACACCCAAAUCUAUCUAUCUUUCUCCCUCUCCCCUCCCCCUCCCCCUCCCCCUUCCUCCCUCUUUCCUCACUUCUCUCUCCCCUUCCCCCCAUGUCCACUUCUGCAACCUAGUGACAGACAAAUGUGUCUACAGAAUAGCCCCCACAGUUACUAGGCAGCCCUGACUCAGGGAACUGGGAUGUAACAAAGACUAGGUAUUGGAUAUUUGCCUUUAGGUGACAGGGAUAGAAUACAUAGAGUCUCACCGGGAGUGGUGCUCCACGUGCCCAGAGGGUUGCAAUGGAUGCCACUUCCAGGCACAGCUCUAAGCUCCUCUUCCAAGUUGUCUCCCCCCAACCCCCACCCCAAGCACAUGGCCCCAGCCUAAGCAUACCUUCUCCACCUGGAAAAAACUCUCACUCCAGGAAUGUGCUUUGGGCUCCUCGCCCACAACCAGCCACUUCUGACUUUGCAGUCUGCCUGUGACACUACUGUCAAUGAUGACAGUCUAGUUCAGACAUCUGUGCGGGGUCUACUGAAACACACUGGCACAAUAUGGCCUUGCCACAGACUCUGCUUCUCCUUACCUGUGACAGCUGGGGAGGUCUCAAAUCAAAUCAGCCCUGCCUGGGUGGUGGUUCCAAGCCACUCAUCCCUGAGGCCUGACCCCUAGAUGCUCUUCCCUGGGCAACCUCACAUCAUUCUAAGUCUAACUUAACCCCUUCCACACCAAGGGCAGGCCCGCUUCUUCCAACCCCCCAUCAUAGCUGAUACUCUGGUCCCAGCCACCAAGACCCUCCAGGGGUUCUGACAGGGGUAGCUACCUAUUUUUUUUCCCAGACACAAAGUCUCUGCCUGCCUCAGCGGGCAAACCUCUUAAGAGAAAUAACUCCCAGGUCCCUCUGGGUGUUGUCUGCCCCCCACCUGGCCCCCAGAAGAAGGAAUAUGUCUGAGCUGAAAUCUCCUCCUAGUCUUUGCUCCAGCUGACUCUUCCAGGUGACGUCCUGGGAGACAGAUCUGCUCUGCAAUGUCUUCUGAGAAAAUUCCUAAGGUCAGUGCCGCCAAAUUCGCUCCCGUGUUGUGGUUCCUGUCUGCUUGGCAUCUGAAAACCGCUUGGGCACUACUGGUCACUUUCCUCAGUGUGGUGAUCAAGGAGGAAGGGAACGGUGCAGGCAAAUGUAAGAUACUUACACUCUGUAAGAUAAAUCUCUGCCUCUGUUGUUUGUUUUCUUUUUUAAAGGUGUACGCAUUCUGUACGUGAAAUCGUCUGUAGAGAGUUUCCACGUUCUUAAAUGGCAAUACAUUCCAAAACUCGUACUGUAGAUAUGUACAGCAACCGCACUGGAAAGGGGGUAGUUUUGCCUGUGGUUUUAUUUAAACUCCAGUUUCUACACUUGUAUCUUGCAGUUGUCGGUAUGGUAUUCAUCAGUGCAAAAGAAAAACAAAUAAAAAAAAAAACUCAAACAAAAACAAAAGAAAAAAGAAAAAAAAAGAAAUCUUACACAGGUCUAAAGCACAGAGUCUGUUAUACAAAAGGAAAGAAUCGCUCAGUAUUGGUAUGUGUGACCCUUGUUGUAAAUCCCAUCUGUACUGUGAAUGAGACGUUUUUACAAGUAUAAUAAUUGCCUUUAUUACAGCUUGGGCUGGGUGUUCAGCCUGAAGAUAUUUUUUAAAAAAAAAUAUAUAGCACGUUGGAAUAAAUUUGAAAAUUCCCAAC
Molecule: long non-coding RNA, 2571 nt
Filed under: Mus musculus (house mouse)
Lineage: Eukaryota; Metazoa; Chordata; Mammalia; Rodentia; Muridae
Description: long non-coding RNA chr4:120135471-120138042
Source: RNAcentral